ACCGCAAAGCAAAAUGAGGAUUGAUUAAACGUCUAUGUCUACUGUUAUAUGAUCUAUUUACAGAGAUAUUCAAUUUUCACACCAACUCAAUUCUCCUCGCCAACUCUUCCCUUGAUGUGAGAACUUAGAGGAACCAACAUGCACGAGUCACCAAAGACACGUCCGAGUCUAGCCAAAAGUUGCGCCUGGCAGUGAAGGGCAACAAUACUGGUGCUGGACACUAUAAGACCUCAUUCUCAAACCUUUCAAGGCUCUCACACACACACACACAGACUGACACUUAAGGCUUUGGUCGAGGUUGUGUGGGGCUUUCCAUGGGUAGUUUUAUGAGCCUGGGGAUAGUUGACACACACACACACACACACACACACACUUAAGGCUUUGGUCGAGGUUGUUGUGGGGUUUUCCAUGGGUAGUGUUAUAAGCCUGGGGAUAUUUUGUCAAGGCUUAUGCAUCGAGAACCUGACUAACCUCUCUGUAGCCUUAGAAAAUACUUAGUUGUUGUUCCUCACACACACACAUAUUCAAGGCUUUGGUGGAGGUUGUGAGGCUUUCCAUGGGUAGUGUUAUGAGCCUGGGGAUAGUUUGUCAAGGCUUCUACACCAUGAACCUGACAAACCACUCUUGAGAACCUGACUAACCUCUCUGUGAAAUAGUUGUCCCUCACACACACACACAUUUAAGGCUUUGGUCGAGGUUUUGUGAGGCUUUCCAUGGGUAGUGUUAUGAGCCUGGGGAUAGUUUGUCAAGGCUUCUACACCAUGAACCUGACAAACCACUCUUGAGAACCUGACUAACCUCUCUGUGAAAUAGUUGUCCCUCACACACACACACAUUUAAGGCUUUGGUCGAGGUUUUGUGAGGCUUUCCAUGGAUAGUGUUAUGAGCCUGGGGAUAGUUUGUCAAGGCUUCUACACCAUGAACCUGACAAACCACUCUUGAGAACCUGACUAACCUCUCUGUGAAAUAGUUGUCCCUCACACACACACACAUUUAAGGCUUUGGUCGAGGUUUUGUGAGGCUUUCCAUGGGUAGUGUUAUGAGCCUGGGGAUAGUUUGUCAAGGCUUCUACACCAUGAACCUGACAAACCACUCUUGAGAACUUGACUAACCUCUCUGUGAAAUAGUUGUCCCUCACACACACACACACACACUUAAGGCUUUGGUCGAGGUUUUGUGAGGCUUUCCAUGGGUAGUGUUAUGAGCCUGGGGAUAGUUUGACAAGGCUUCUACACCAUGAACACAAAGAAACACUCGUGAAAACCCAACUAACCUUUCUGGGGCCUUGGGAAAUAACUUUUGUGUGAGCCGGAAUCGUCUGAGAAUGUGGGUUUUCAAUUGCUCUAUCCGUCACCGGCCCCAGAAGCCGUGUACUCUGUUAAACCUCUUCUCGGUAACUUGGUAAAUAGGUCCCUCGAUGUGCCCAUUUUAGCAUGCGUCAUUGGCCAGUCCUAUUGCAUCCACGCCAUUCUUCGUCUGAGGCUGUGCGGGGUUGUUGGAAGCUGGAAAAGGUCAAAGGUUAAUUGGGCGAUAUGGAAAACGUUAAAUCUCAUUGGUGGAUGCUGGGAAGGGUUGAAUCUUUUUGGUGGAUGCUGGGAAGGGUUGAAUCUUUUUGGUGGAUGCUGGGAAGGGUUGAAUCUUUUUGGUGGAUGCUGGGAAAGGGUUAAAUCUUACUGGUGGAUGCUGGGAAAUGGGAAAUCUUACUGGUGGAUGCUGGGAAAGGGUUAAAUCUUACUGGUGGAUGCUGGGAAAUGGGAAAUCUUACUGGUGGAUGCUGGGAAGGGUUAAAUCUCACUGGUGGAUGCUGGGAAAGGUUAAUUCUUACUGGUGGAUGCUGGGAAAUGGGAAAUCUUACUGGUGGAUGCUGGGAAAUGGGAAAUCUUACUGGUGGAUGCUGGGAAGGGUUAAAUCUUAUUGGUGGAUGCUGGGAAAGGUUAAUUCUUGCUGGUGGAUGCUGGGGAAGGGUUAAAUCUCACUGGUGGAUGCUGGGAAAGGGUUAAAUCUCACUGGUGGAUGCUGGGGAAGGGUUAUAUCGCACUGGCUAGCAUGGUCAUAAUCUUUUUACCAAGUUAGUGAGAAGAGAAUAUAGUUGACAACACACACUUACGUUACGAAAGACCACACUUGAUUAUAUUUGAGGCCGUCCCUUGAGGCUGGUGGCAAGGCAUAGCGUCCCUCUGUACUGUUUGCCUUCGUAACACCUUUUCUGACCCUCUGUUAACAAGACACUAAAGUCGUAACAUUGACCAGCAGUUGUAGGAUAUGUUUGCAAUCUUGUACCCAUUCAUUCUGACCUCCUCUGUUGAUAUACACUCGAAAUAUCAUUGGGUAACUGUGCUAUGGUUUGCUGAAGACUCCAUAGCCACCAUCCCAGACCACACUCCCACCAGGCAAAUAUAUUACCCUGAAAAACAAGAUUAAGUGUGAGAAUGAGGUGUGUGAAGUCCCCCAUUAAAAUCAAUAUGGAUCGACACUUUUUCUUCAGUUUUAUGCCCUGUUUCAGUGUUUUCAGAGUAGCGUUUUGCCUGAUUGGAGUUCUAACUGGCAUGGUGUUUAUAUAUGGUGUCCGAAAAGGGUCAGAAUCUCUAUGGUCAGAAAUCCUUAUUAAACUCUUUGAAGGCUCGGUCCGUGUACUUCAAAAGGGGGCUCAUGGAAGUUGUCGAGGAUUCCAUUGGUAAAAAAAAUAAUGAAAAGGGAACCAAAUGAGAAUGAAAAAUGAAAGACAAGUUGCUAUAUAAGGUUCCAGUGGUAGUUUUAUAAGGCUUGUGCGCUGUGAACGCGACAAACUCGUGACAACCCAACGUAGCUCCUCUUUGGACUUGAAAAACGUCCGUAACAAGACCCAAAAACAUUUCAUAAUACACGUGGGAAUAGAGAAUCGAGUCUUGAGUUGCCACCUCUCUCGGGACGCCUCACACUCUUAGUUUCUUACAUAGGUCACGUGCCUCUUGUGAUAUGAUUCCUCCAGUUAGUUCAGUCGUCCCUCAAAUACUACGGUUUUCAAUAGUUUGGUUUCGGUUUUAUGUGGAUUUUCAGAUUUUUUAAGGAUUUUUAAAUUUCACGACAAGCAGGAAAUUUAAAAAUCCUUAACCCAGUAGCAGCGACGGGCCAAAUUUGUGGCUUUACCGUGUACCAGCGAUGGGUCAAAUUUGUGGCUUUACCGUGUACCAGCGAUGGGUCAAAUUUGUGGCUUUACCGUGUACCAGCGAUGGGCCAAAUUUGUGGCUUUACCAUGUACCAGCGAUGGGCCAAAUUUGUGGCUUUACCGUGUACCAGCGAUGGGCCAAAUUUGUGGCUUUACCGUGUACCAGCGAUGGGCCAAAUUUGUGGCUUUACCGUGUACCAGCGAUGGGCCAAAUUUGUGGCUUUACCGUGUACCAGCGAUGGGCCAAAUUUGUGGCUUUACCGUGUAGCAGCGAUGGGCCAAAUUUGUGGCUUUACCAUGUACCAGCGAUGGGCCAAAUUUGUGGCUUUACCGUGUACCAGUGAUGGGUCAAAUUUGUGGCUUUACCGUAUACCAGCGAUGGGUCAAAUUUGUGGCUUUACCGCGUACCAGCGAUGGGCCAAAUUUGUGGCUUUACCGUGUAGCAGCGAUGGGCCAAAUUUUUGCCAUGAUAUAAACCCCCCAAAAAUAGAUGAUGCAUAAACUGAUCACAAAUGCUUUGAUAUAUAUUAUGAAACUGCGUGAGUGAUGAUUUUUUUCUCAUUAAUUCGCUUAGAGGGGACUUUAAGAAACAUGAUCCCCGGCCGCAGCUCCCGGGUUAAAAGGUCUUCUAUGACAAUCCGUAUAAAACCAAAACCGAACUAUUGAAAACCGUACUAUUUGAGGGGCGACCGUAUUAUAUUAUUUGUCCAGGUCCAGGUACUUGUGAUUAGGUUAAGUUCCCGAGUGCACUGCGUCGCGGCCGGCAGUGACCUCCCUUAGUUGUAUUCACUGAAGAUUAUCUUAUACAAAUCUAUACAAGAGGUGAUGUUGGGCUCCAAUGUUGCUCUAUUAUGAAAAAUAUAUAUAUGAAUUUUAA
This is a long non-coding RNA of Eriocheir sinensis (Chinese mitten crab), 4022 nucleotides long. RefSeq lists it as uncharacterized. NCBI's taxonomy places the organism in Eukaryota, Metazoa, Arthropoda, Malacostraca, Decapoda, Varunidae. The record is from RefSeq and is a predicted model, not a curated record. The transcript has 5 exons.